This 274-nucleotide ribosomal RNA is filed under the name uncultured bacterium. Its description in RNAcentral is "partial 16S ribosomal RNA". It matches the Rfam family "Bacterial small subunit ribosomal RNA", at positions 523 to 796 of the family's 1533-position model. The record is from RNAcentral.
AUACGAAGGGGGCUAGCGUUGUUCGGAAUUACUGGGCGUAAAGCGCGCGUAGUCGGAUUGGUCAGUUAGGGGUGAAAUCCCAGGGCUUAACCCUGGAACUGCCUCUAAUACUGCCAGUCUUGAGUUCGGGAGAGGUGAGUGGAAUUCCUAGUGUAGAGGUGAAAUUCGUAGAUAUUAGGAAGAACACCAGUGGCGAAGGCGGCUCACUGGCCCGAUACUGACGCUGAGGCGCGAAAGCGUGGGGAGCGAACAGGAUUAGAAACCCCAGUAGUCC